Molecule: long non-coding RNA, 498 nt
Filed under: Olea europaea subsp. europaea
Lineage: Eukaryota; Viridiplantae; Streptophyta; Magnoliopsida; Lamiales; Oleaceae
Source: RNAcentral
AUGGUACUAUAUAUUUUUAUAAAUAUUAACAAUUAAAAUAAAAACAAAAGAAAAGUAAAAAGCCCCUUAACGCAUCCUCGCCGCCAUCUGUUUCAUCUCUUCGUCGAAAAACACCAAGGUAACGCCACCAUACCACAACCUCUAUUCUUCAUCGCCAACGCCAUUUGGUAUAACCCAUCUUCAUCGCUGCUGCAAUUUUUCCCAAUAAAAAUCAUCCGUCCACUCCCGCUCAAGAUAUGAUUUGCAAAUCCACUAGUUGGCUGAUUCGAGGAAAAUUGAUGAAGACCAAUAUGUGCACCUUGUUCACCAUGAUGAGUAGAAACCAAUGGAGGUGGUGUGCGACCAUCAUUAGUAAUGUCGCACUGGAGUUUGGGACAGAAGGUGCGUGGUUCGCUUUCUUCGGAUUGUUGAUAUUUUGUUUCUGAUUUAAACUGUCUCUUGAUGAUAAUGGGCCAUGGAACUGCUCAUCUAUGGGAGUAUUAACGACUUAUGAUAAAG